RNAcentral lists this unclassified non-coding RNA (21 nucleotides) under Mus musculus (house mouse). Its description in RNAcentral is "oocyte_clustered_small_RNA10681". Lineage: Eukaryota; Metazoa; Chordata; Mammalia; Rodentia; Muridae. The record is from RNAcentral.
UCGCGGCUGCCGGGGAUCUGA